This 72-nucleotide transfer RNA is filed under the name Saccoglossus kowalevskii. RNAcentral's name for it is "tRNA-Gln". It matches the Rfam family "tRNA". Rfam says of the family: Transfer RNA (tRNA) molecules are approximately 80 nucleotides in length. The record is from RNAcentral. Lineage: Eukaryota; Metazoa; Hemichordata; Enteropneusta; Harrimaniidae.
CGUCAUAUGGUGUAAUGGUUAGCACUCUGGACUCUGAAUCCAGCGAUCCGAGUUCAAAUCUCGGUAGGACCU